This 490-nucleotide ribosomal RNA is filed under the name uncultured bacterium. RNAcentral's name for it is "partial 16S ribosomal RNA". It matches the Rfam family "Bacterial small subunit ribosomal RNA", at positions 30 to 507 of the family's 1533-position model. The record is from RNAcentral.
AUUGAACGCUGGCGGCAGGCCUAACACAUGCAAGUCGAACGGUAACAGGAAGAAGCUUGCUUCUUUGCUGACGAGUGGCGGACGGGUGAGUAAUGUCUGGGAAACUGCCUGAUGGAGGGGGAUAACUACUGGAAACGGUAGCUAAUACCGCAUAACGUCGCAAGACCAAAGAGGGGGACCUUCGGGCCUCUUGCCAUCGGAUGUGCCCAGAUGGGAUUAGCUAGUAGGUGGGGUAACGGCUCACCUAGGCGACGAUCCCUAGCUGGUCUGAGAGGAUGACCAGCCACACUGGAACUGAGACACGGUCUAGACUCCUACGGGAGGCAGCAGUGGGGAAUAUUGCACAAUGGGCGCAAGCCUGAUGCAGCCAUGCCGCGUGUAUGAAGAAGGCCUUCGGGUUGUAAAGUACUUUCAGCGGGGAGGAAGGGAGUAAAGUUAAUACCUUUGCUCAUUGACGUUACCCGCAGAAGAAGCACCGGCUAACUCCGUG